Molecule: ribosomal RNA, 777 nt
Filed under: uncultured Neocallimastigales
Lineage: Eukaryota; Fungi; Neocallimastigomycota; Neocallimastigomycetes; Neocallimastigales
Description: partial large subunit ribosomal RNA
Rfam family: Eukaryotic large subunit ribosomal RNA
Source: RNAcentral
ACACGCAUGACACACUGCAUAUCAAUAAGCGGAGGAAAAGAAACUAACAAGGAUUCCCUUAGUAACGGCGAGUGAAGCGGGAAGAGCUCAAAUUUGAAAUCUUCAAGGUUUUACCUUGACGAAUUGUAGUUUAAAGAAGUGUUUUCUGUUGGAGUUUUGGUAAAAGUUCUUUGGAAUAGGACAUCAUAGAGGGUGAGAAUCCCGUAUUUGACCAUUAUUUCCAGCUGUGUGAUACACUUUCAAAGAGUCGGAUUGUUUGGGAAUGCAGUCCAAAAUGGGUGGUAAAUUUCAUCUAAAGCUAAAUAUUGGCGAGAGACCGAUAGCGAACAAGUACCGUGAGGGAAUGAUGAAAAGAACUUUGAAAAGAGAGUUAAACAGUACGUGAAAUUGUCAAAAGGGAAGCGUUUGACACCAGUGUUGUUUUCUCGAAAAUCAAUUAAGAAUGGCCGGAUCUUGUAGUUGUCAUGACCUUAUAAGCUUGUUCUGCACUUUUUUCUUGUCUUUCUUAAUGCACUUUUCGGUUAACAAGUCAACAUCAAUUUCUUUUGUUGUAAAAGGGUAUGAGGAAGGUGGCUUUCUUUUCGGAGAAAGUGUUUAUAGCCUUGUGCCUCUGCAAUCGGAGAGAUUGAGGUCUGCAGCGUAGAUCCUUCGGGGUUAGAUACGUUUGUGCUAAGUUAUAGCUUUUCAUAGACAACUUGUUGACUAUGUUUAGUCUUGUAGCUUACUCGCUGACGCUAUUUUACCUACGCUUAGGAUGUUGAUCUACAGAGCGAGAGU